Molecule: RNase P RNA, 375 nt
Filed under: Desulfobacteraceae bacterium
Lineage: Bacteria; Pseudomonadati; Thermodesulfobacteriota; Desulfobacteria; Desulfobacterales; Desulfobacteraceae
Description: RNase P RNA component class A
Rfam family: Bacterial RNase P class A
About the family: Ribonuclease P (RNase P) is a ubiquitous endoribonuclease, found in archaea, bacteria and eukarya as well as chloroplasts and mitochondria. Its best characterised activity is the generation of mature 5'-ends of tRNAs by cleaving the 5'-leader elements of precursor-tRNAs.
Source: RNAcentral
UGAGUCGUCCAGACGAUCGCUGGAUCCAAUAAGUGGCCCAGAGGAAAGUCCGAACACCAUAGGGCAGGGUGCUCCAUAACGUGGAGUCACGGUAACGUGAAGGAAAGUGCAACAGAAAGUAUACCGCCCUGCAUUAAGCAGGGUAAGGGUGAAAAGGUGCGGUAAGAGCGCACCAGUUCUUCGGGUGACCGGAGAAGCUUUGUAAACCCCACCCGGUGCAAGACCAAAUAGGGGAGUGUUUGAGAAUGGCCCGUUCAAGCUCCCGGGUAGGUCGCAAGAGGUGCCGGGCAACCGGCAUUCAUAGAUGAAUGAUCGUUACCCGGCUGAGGGCAACCUCAUCCGGUUACAGAAUUCGGCUUACGGACGGCUCGGACC